UACGUAGGGUGCAAGCGUUGUCCGGAAUUAUUGGGCGUAAAGAGCUCGUAGGCGGUUUGUUGCGUCGGCUGUGAAAUCCCGAGGCUCAACCUCGGGUCUGCAGUCGAUACGAGCAAACUAGAGUGUUGCAGGGGAGACUGGAAUUCCUGGUGUAGCGGUGAAAUGCGCAGAUAUCAGGAGGAACACCGGUGGCGAAGGCGGGUCUCUGGGCAACAUCUGACGCUGAGGAGCGAAAGCGUGGGGAGCGAACAGG
Molecule: ribosomal RNA, 253 nt
Filed under: uncultured bacterium
Lineage: Bacteria
Description: partial 16S ribosomal RNA
Rfam family: Bacterial small subunit ribosomal RNA
Source: RNAcentral